CUCAAAUAUUGAGGCUAAUUAACCAUACUCAGUAAAUAAAUACAUUUUUUUCUUUUUAGUCUCAUAAAAGUAUAGCUAAACAUGGCAGGAUCUAAGGUUAUACUGACUCUUCUGUUUAUUGGCUUAGUUGCCUCAACGCAUGCAGCCACUAUCUACCGUAUUUCUGUAUCUGCUAUCAAAAUUUACUUAGAUCCUGAAGAUGGUUCACCGAUUAUUGAACUCAGUGCACCUAAAACUAAUAAUGCAGAUAUAAACGAAGUUCGUGGGCCGGGAUAAAGUCUGACAGAUAAAAAUCAGCCGUCAAAAAUAAAUAUAUAUAUUAAAAAUACGAAGCUGUAAUUACGACACUUAAUUCUAUUCAGAAUGACAAUAAUUGUACUUAAUCCGAUUUUCUGUAAAGAAAACACUUAUUUCAUUUAGUUUGACGGUUUUAUAUUUUAUAUAUAUGAAAAAAUUAUAAUUUGACAAGACAAUCUUAUGCCUAUCAUUUAUAUAACUUUUUAUCUUUAAUUUAUAUAUUAAUACGUAAA
Molecule: unclassified non-coding RNA, 530 nt
Filed under: Melitaea cinxia (Glanville fritillary)
Lineage: Eukaryota; Metazoa; Arthropoda; Insecta; Lepidoptera; Nymphalidae
Description: misc RNA ENSMCXG00005018659.1
Source: RNAcentral